CUACGAAAGGUGCAAGCGUUGUUCGGAUUUGCUGGGCGUAAAGAGAGUGUAGGUUGUUUAUUAAGUCGGAUGUGAAAUCCCGGGGCUCAACCUCGGAACUGCAUUCGAUACUGAUAGGCUAGAGUUUGGGAGGGGUAAGCGGAAUUCCGUGUGUAGCAGUGAAAUGCGUAGAUAUACGGAGGAACACCUGAGGCGAAGGCGGCUUACUGGACCAAUACUGACACUGAGACUCGAAAGCGUGGGUAGCAAACAGGAUUAGAAACCCUAGUAGUCC
This 274-nucleotide ribosomal RNA is filed under the name uncultured bacterium. RNAcentral describes it as "partial 16S ribosomal RNA". It matches the Rfam family "Bacterial small subunit ribosomal RNA", at positions 523 to 796 of the family's 1533-position model. The record is from RNAcentral.